This 443-nucleotide ribosomal RNA is filed under the name uncultured bacterium. RNAcentral's name for it is "partial 16S ribosomal RNA". It matches the Rfam family "Bacterial small subunit ribosomal RNA", at positions 338 to 795 of the family's 1533-position model. The record is from RNAcentral.
CCUACGGGUGGCAGCAGUGGGGAAUAUUGGGCAAUGGGCGCAAGCCUGACCCAGCAACGCCGCGGGAAGGAAGAAGGCUUUCGGGUUGGAAACUUCUUUUGUCAGGGACGAAGCAAGUGACGGUACCUGACGAAUAAGCCACGGCUAACUACGUGCCAGCAGCCGCGGCAAUACGUAGGGGGCAAGCGUUAUCCGGAUUUAAUGGGUGUAAAGGGCGUGUAGGCGGGACUGCAAGUCAGAUGUGAAAUCCACGGGCUCAACCUGUGGCCUGCAUUUGAAACUGUAGUGCUUGAGUACUGGAGAGGCAGCCGGAAUUCCUAGUGUAGCGGUGAAAUGCGUAGAUAUUAGGAGGAACACCAGUGGCGAAGGCGGUCUGCUGGACAGCAACUGACGCUGAGGCGCGAAAGCGUGGGGAGCAAACAGGAUUAGAUACCCUAGUAGUC